RNAcentral lists this ribosomal RNA (482 nucleotides) under uncultured bacterium. RNAcentral describes it as "partial 16S ribosomal RNA". It matches the Rfam family "Bacterial small subunit ribosomal RNA", at positions 30 to 507 of the family's 1533-position model. The record is from RNAcentral.
AUUGAACGCUGGCGGCAUGCCUUACACAUGCAAGUCGAACGGUAACAGGUCUUCGGAUGCUGACGAGUGGCGAACCGGUGCGUAAUACAUCGGAACGUGCCCGAUCGUGGGGGAUAACGAAGCGAAAGCUUUGCUAAUACCGCAUAAGAUCUACGGAUGAAAGCAGGGGACCGCAAGGCCUUGCGCGAACGGAGCGGCCGAUGGCAGAUUAGGUAGUUGGUGGGAUAAAAGCUUACCAAGCCGACGAUCUGUAGCUGGUCUGAGAGGACGACCAGCCACACUGGGACUGAGACACGGCCCAGACUCCUACGGGAGGCAGCAGUGGGGAAUUUUGGACAAUGGGCGAAAGCCUGAUCCAGCCAUGCCGCGUGCAGGAUGAAGGCCUUCGGGUUGUAAACUGCUUUUGUACGGAACGAAAAGACUCUGGUUAAUACCUGGGGUCCAUGACGGUACCGUAAGAAUAAGCACCGGCUAACUACGUG